RNAcentral lists this ribosomal RNA (483 nucleotides) under uncultured bacterium. RNAcentral describes it as "partial 16S ribosomal RNA". It matches the Rfam family "Bacterial small subunit ribosomal RNA", at positions 30 to 506 of the family's 1533-position model. The record is from RNAcentral.
AUUGAACGCUGGCGGCAGGCCUAACACAUGCAAGUCGAGCGGAUGAAGGGAGCUUGCUCCUGGAUUCAGCGGCGGACGGGUGAGUAAUGCCUAGGAAUCUGCCUGGUAGUGGGGGAUAACGUCCGGAAACGGGCGCUAAUACCGCAUACGUCCUGAGGGAGAAAGUGGGGGAUCUUCGGACCUCACGCUAUCAGAUGAGCCUAGGUCGGAUUAGCUAGUUGGUGGGGUAAAGGCCUACCAAGGCGACGAUCCGUAACUGGUCUGAGAGGAUGAUCAGUCACACUGGAGCUGAGACGCGGUCCAGACUCCUACGGGAGGCAGCAGUGGGGAAUAUUGGACAAUGGGCGGAAGCCUGAUCCAGCCAUGCCGCGUGUGUGAAGAAGGUCUUCGGCUUGUAAAGCACUUUAAGUUGGGAGGAAGGGCAGUAAGUUAAUACCUUGCUGUUUGGACGUUACCAACAGAAUAGGCACCGGCUAACUUCGU